This 488-nucleotide ribosomal RNA is filed under the name uncultured bacterium. RNAcentral describes it as "partial 16S ribosomal RNA". It matches the Rfam family "Bacterial small subunit ribosomal RNA", at positions 30 to 507 of the family's 1533-position model. The record is from RNAcentral.
UGACCGCUGGCGGCAGGCCUACCACAUGCAAGUCGACCGGUAACAGGAAGAAGCUUGCUUCUUUGCUGACGAGUGGCGGACGGGUGAGUAAUGUCUGGGAAACUGCCUGAUGGAGGGGGAUAACUACUGGAAACGGUAGCUAAUACCGCAUAACGUCGCAAGACCAAAGAGGGGGACCUUCGGGCCUCUUGCCAUCGGAUGUGCCCAGAUGGGAUUAGCUAGUAGGUGGGGUAACGGCUCACCUAGGCGACGAUCCCUAGCUGGUCUGAGAGGAUGACCAGCCACACUGGAACUGAGACACGGUCCAGACUCCUACGGGAGGCAGCAGUGGGGAAUAUUGCACAAUGGGCGCAAGCCUGAUGCAGCCAUGCCGCGUGUAUGAAGAAGGCCUUCGGGUUGUAAAGUACUUUCAGCGGGGAGGAAGGGAGUAAAGUUAAUACCUUUGCUCAUUGACGUUACCCGCAGAAGAAGCACCGGCUAACUCCGUG